CCUACGGGAGGCAGCAGUGAGGAAUAUUGGUCAAUGGGCGGGAGCCUGAACCAGCCAAGUAGCGUGAGGGAUGACUGCCCUACGGGUCGUAAACUUCUUUUACACGGGGAUAACACGAGGCACGUGUGCCUUUUUGUAUGUACUUUGUGAAUAAGGGUCGGCUAACUCCGUGCCAGCAGCCGCGGUAAUACGGAAGAUCCGAGCGUUAUCCGGAUUUAUUGGGGUUAAAGGGAGCGUAGGUGGGUUGUUAAGUCAGGUGUGAAAGUUGGCGGCGUAACCGUAACAUCGCAAUUGAUACUGGAAGUCUUGAGUACACUACAGGCAGGCGGAAUUCGUGGUGUAGCGGUGAAAUGCAUAGAUAUCACGAAGAACCCCGAUUGCGAAGGCAGCCUACUAAACUGCCACUGACAUUGAGGCUCGAAGGUGCGGGUAUCAAACAGGAUUAGAUACCCUAGUAGUC
RNAcentral lists this ribosomal RNA (460 nucleotides) under uncultured bacterium. RNAcentral describes it as "partial 16S ribosomal RNA". It matches the Rfam family "Bacterial small subunit ribosomal RNA", at positions 338 to 795 of the family's 1533-position model. The record is from RNAcentral.